RNAcentral lists this ribosomal RNA (229 nucleotides) under uncultured bacterium. RNAcentral describes it as "partial 16S ribosomal RNA". It matches the Rfam family "Bacterial small subunit ribosomal RNA", at positions 568 to 796 of the family's 1533-position model. The record is from RNAcentral.
UGCGCAGGCGGACUAUUAAGUCAGUGGUGAAAUCUCUCGGCUCAACCGAGAAACUGCCAUUGAAACUGAUAGCCUUGAGUGUAGUUGUAGUAGGCGGAAUAUAGCAUGUAGCGGUGAAAUGCUUAGAUAUGCCAUAGAACACCGAUCGCGAAGGCAGCUUACUAAACUAUCACUGACGCUCAUGCACGAAAGCGUGGGGAGCGAACAGGAUUAGAUACCCUGGUAGUCC